AUUGAACGCUGGCGGCAUGCCUUACACAUGCAAGUCGAACGGCAGCACGGGAGCAAUCCUGGUGGCGAGUGGCGAACGGGUGAGUAAUGUAUCGGAACGUACCUUUCAGUGGGGGAUAACGUAGCGAAAGUUACGCUAAUAUCGCAUAUUCUGUGAGCAGGAAAGCAGGGGAUCGCAAGACCUUGCGCUGAUUGAGCGGCCGAUAUCAGAUUAGCUAGUUGGUGAGGUAAAGGCUCACCAAGGCGACGAUCUGUAGCGGGUCUGAGAGGAUGAUCCGCCACACUGGAACUGAGACACGGUCCAGACUCCUACGGGAGGCAGCAGUGGGGAAUUUUGGACAAUGGGCGCAAGCCUGAUCCAGCCAUGCCGCGUGAGUGAAGAAGGCC
RNAcentral lists this ribosomal RNA (386 nucleotides) under uncultured bacterium. RNAcentral's name for it is "bacterial SSU rRNA". It matches the Rfam family "Bacterial small subunit ribosomal RNA", at positions 30 to 416 of the family's 1533-position model. The record is from RNAcentral.